CUGGAUUCAGGCCAAAGGCAGUAAAUGGCACGAGAGCAAAGUUCAGAGCUGCCUUCAAUCCUCGUUCACAUAAUGAAAGCAUGAAAGCAGAUUCACACGAUGGAUGAACAUGAAAAGCCAAACAUAUCGAUCACUCCGUACAUCGCUGGCAACCAGCUGUUCUGGCAGCAGUCUUACAAGGGCUCUGCUGCAGUCAGACACAAGAUAAUGAGGAGCAAGCAGUGGAGCCCGGAUCGGAUGGUGGACUCUGUCCAGCAAACGCAUUUGCUGUGUGCCUGAAACCUGCUGCACAGAGGCAGAGGAGCUGUGGCAGUGCUGCAGGGAGCAUCAGGACGCCAGAGCUGCCCGAAGGGCCCAAACAUCCAAACCCUCUGCUUCCCUCGGGCUCUGCUGCACGACUAACAAAGCAGGUGGUGCGCAAGGUAAGACAGCAUUUCACGUUCGUUCUUCUCCGUGCAAUUAGGCAGAACGAGGCCUCCGCACAGGCAGGGCAGGCGCUGCAGGCAGGGAAGGCAGCGGCACGGGGCUGGCUGCAGCGUGCGGGCACGGAACAGUGCUGAGGCCGGUGUGGGCAGGGGCGCUGGAUGGAGAUCUGGGGGUGCUGGGCGAUGUAACCCCCACCAUUUUCUCUGCCUCUUCACGCUGUUUCCCAUCUCAGCACAAAUGCCCUUGGGUUUGCACAUUGGGUGCUCACUGCCAGCCCGCCAGCUCCCUUCCCUGCUCCAGGAGCCCUUGGGGAUGCUCCCAGGCCUGUGCCCCAUCCACCUCCCCGAAUCUGGAAGCCAGAUCUUUGCAGAUGGAGGCAGUGACCUCAAAUUGUCCCUGAGCACGGAUGGUCCUCUGGGAACUGAUUCAAGAGUCUGAGAG
This 867-nucleotide long non-coding RNA is filed under the name Anser brachyrhynchus (Pink-footed goose). Its description in RNAcentral is "lncRNA (ENSABRG00000017715.1)". The record is from RNAcentral. Lineage: Eukaryota; Metazoa; Chordata; Aves; Anseriformes; Anatidae.